This 31-nucleotide non-coding RNA is filed under the name Mus musculus (house mouse). The record is from RNAcentral. Lineage: Eukaryota; Metazoa; Chordata; Mammalia; Rodentia; Muridae.
UGGACCACCCAAUCCAAGCUUUAACCGCCCC